UACAGAGGUCCCAAGCGUUGUUCGGAUUCACUGGGCGUAAAGGGUGCGUAGGUGGUCAGGCAAGUCAGGUGUGAAAUCUCCGGGCUCAACCCGGAAAUGGCAUUCGAAACUACCAUGCUAGAGGGUUUGAGGGGGGACUGGAAUACUUGGUGUAGCAGUGAAAUGCGUAGAUAUCAAGUGGAACACCAGUGGCGAAGGCGAGUCCCUGGAAAACUCCUGACACUGAGGCACGAAAGCUAGGGGAGCAAACAGG
RNAcentral lists this ribosomal RNA (253 nucleotides) under uncultured bacterium. RNAcentral's name for it is "partial 16S ribosomal RNA". It matches the Rfam family "Bacterial small subunit ribosomal RNA", at positions 524 to 776 of the family's 1533-position model. The record is from RNAcentral.